Molecule: ribosomal RNA, 493 nt
Filed under: uncultured bacterium
Lineage: Bacteria
Description: bacterial SSU rRNA
Rfam family: Bacterial small subunit ribosomal RNA
Source: RNAcentral
GGCUCAGGAUGAACGCUAGCGGCAGGCUUAAUACAUGCAAGUUCGUGGGGCAGCAUGAGUAGCAAUACUUGAUGGCGACCGGCAAACGGGUGAGGAACACGUACACAACCUUCCUUCAAGCGGGGAAUAGCCCAGAGAAAUUUGGAUUAAUACCCCAUAAUAUAUUUGAUAAGGCAUCUUAUUAAUAUUAAAGCUUCGGCACUUGAUGAUGGGUGUGCGGCUGAUUAGAUAGUUGGCGGGGUAACGGCCCACCAAGUCUACGAUCAGUAGCUGAUGUGAGAGCAUGAUCAGCCACACGGGCACUGAGACACGGGCCCGACUCCUACGGGAGGCAGCAGUAAGGAAUAUUGGACAAUGGACGAAAGUCUAAUCCAGCCAUGCCGCGUGAAGGAUUAAGGUCCUCUGGAUUGUAAACUUCUUUUAUAUGGGACGAAAAAAGGGCAUUCUUGUUCACUUGACGGUACCAUAUGAAUAAGCACCGGCUAACUCCGUG